GACGAACGCUGGCGGCGUGCUUAACACAUGCAAGUCGAGCGGUAAGGCCCUUUCGGGGUACGACGAGCGGCGAACGGGUGAGUAACACGUGGGUGACCUGCCCUCAGCUCUGGGAUAAGCCUGGGAAACCGGGUCUAAUACUGGAUAUGACUCCAUGACGCAUGUUGUGGGGUGGAAAGCCUUGUGCGGCUGAGGAUGGGCCCGCGGCCUAUCAGCUUGUUGGUGGGGUGANGGCCUACCAAGGCGACGACGGGUAGCCGGCCUGAGAGGGCGACCGGCCACACUGGGACUGAGACACGGCCCAGACUCCUACGGGAGGCAGCAGUGGGGAAUCUUGCGCAAUGGGCGAAAAGCCUGACGCAGCGACGCCGCGUGAGGGAUGACGGCCU
RNAcentral lists this ribosomal RNA (389 nucleotides) under uncultured bacterium. RNAcentral describes it as "bacterial SSU rRNA". It matches the Rfam family "Bacterial small subunit ribosomal RNA", at positions 28 to 417 of the family's 1533-position model. The record is from RNAcentral.